Molecule: long non-coding RNA, 669 nt
Filed under: Homo sapiens (human)
Lineage: Eukaryota; Metazoa; Chordata; Mammalia; Primates; Hominidae
Description: HSALNT0305562
Source: RNAcentral
ACUCAGGGUGAGAGGGAGAUUCUGAAGCUUUGUGUUUCUUGCUAGCUAGUCAAAGGUGACUAAUUCAUGUGGAUAGAAAAAUAAUACAUGCCAAAAGAAAUUUGAGGAACAAAUUCAGCCCUGAGACAGGUCACGGAAACAGCCCUCCAGUCUUCCUCAAGAAAUGUAGACUGAAUCAGCAUUUACCCACCCCUGGAAAAACGCAGGAGCUGCGCAUUCCUGGGAUCUCAGCAGGGCUUUUGGGAAGAGCAGAACUGGGCUGGAGUCACGGUUUCUGGGCUGACUCUAGAUUUUCCCCGGCUUUUGCCACCUGUGAUGGCUGGAGAGUAUCUGAAGAUGACAGAAUGCAACAGAAGAGAGUGCACGGCUUCUGAGGUUGCAGCUUUUGGGAGAAGCCAUCUACCAUUGAUGACAGACAUGCCGUGUGGAAACCAAACCAGCCAUGUGGAGAGGCUACCUGGACAGAGGCACAGGGCCAGCAGCAGCUGUGGAGACAGACAUGUGAGCAAAGAAAUCAUCUUUGAUGUACAGCCAAGUUGAGCCUUCAGAUGACUCCGAUUUCAGCCACCUUUGGACUGCAACCACAUGAAAGACUCUAAAUAGAAGCCUCCCAGCUGAUCCCGGUUAACCCACAGUGCUGAAGGGGAUAAUAAUAAAUUGUUGUUUUAA